Molecule: non-coding RNA, 30 nt
Filed under: Mus musculus (house mouse)
Lineage: Eukaryota; Metazoa; Chordata; Mammalia; Rodentia; Muridae
Source: RNAcentral
UUCCUCAGAUAUCAUGACUAGAUUCUGAAA